This 419-nucleotide ribosomal RNA is filed under the name uncultured bacterium. RNAcentral describes it as "bacterial SSU rRNA". It matches the Rfam family "Bacterial small subunit ribosomal RNA", at positions 338 to 748 of the family's 1533-position model. The record is from RNAcentral.
CCUACGGGAGUCAGCAGUGGGGAAUCUUGCACAAUGGGCGCAAGCCUGAUGCAGCAACGCCGCGUGAGUGAAGAAGGUCUUUGGAUUGUAAAGCUCUUUCGGCUGGGAAGAAGGGACUAGUGGUUAAUACCCAUUGGUUUUGACGGUACUAGAAGAAGAAGCACUGGCUAAUUCCGUGCCAGCAGCUGCGGUAAUACGGAAGGUGCAAGCGUUGUUCGGAUUGACUGGGCGUAAAGAGCACGUAGGCGGGUUUGUAAGUCGAUUGUGAAAGCCCUGGGCUUAACCUGGGAACGGCAAUCGAAACUGCAAAUCUUGAAUACCCGAGAGGUUAGUAGAAUUCCUGGUGUAGGAGUGAAAUCCGUAGAUAUCAGGAGGAAUACCGGCGGCGAAGGCGGCUAACUGGCGGUGUAUUGACGCUG